GACGAACGCUGGCGGCGUGCUUAACACAUGCAAGUCGAACGGUGAACCUCUUCGGAGGGGAUCAGUGGCGAACGGGUGAGUAACACGUGGGCAACCUGCCCCCGGCUCUGGGAUAACUCCAAGAAAUUGGGGCUAAUACCGGAUGUUCACCGCUUCCCGCAUGGGUGGUGGUGGAAAGGGUUUCCGGCUGGGGAUGGGCCCGCGGCCUAUCAGCUUGUUGGUGGGGUAGUGGCCUACCAAGGCGACGACGGGUAGCCGGCCUGAGAGGGUGGCCGGCCACACUGGGACUGAGAAACGGCCCAGACUCCUACGGGAGGCAGCAGUGGGGAAUAUUGCGCAAUGGGCGGAAGCCUGACGCAGCGACGCCGCGUGGGGGAUGACGGCCUUCGGGUUGUAAACCUCUUUCAGCAGGGACGAAGCGCAAGUGACGGUACCUGCAGAAGAAGCACCGGCCAACUACGUG
This 463-nucleotide ribosomal RNA is filed under the name uncultured bacterium. RNAcentral's name for it is "partial 16S ribosomal RNA". It matches the Rfam family "Bacterial small subunit ribosomal RNA", at positions 28 to 507 of the family's 1533-position model. The record is from RNAcentral.